RNAcentral lists this ribosomal RNA (457 nucleotides) under uncultured Anaplasma sp. RNAcentral's name for it is "bacterial SSU rRNA". It matches the Rfam family "Bacterial small subunit ribosomal RNA", at positions 91 to 583 of the family's 1533-position model. Lineage: Bacteria; Pseudomonadati; Pseudomonadota; Alphaproteobacteria; Rickettsiales; Anaplasmataceae. The record is from RNAcentral.
AUUAGUGGCAGACGGGUGAGUAAUGCAUAGGAAUCUACCUAGUAGUAUGGGAUAGCCACUAGAAAUGGUGGGUAAUACUGUAUAAUCCCUGCGGGGGAAAGAUUUAUCGCUAUUAGAUGAGCCUAUGUUAGAUUAGCUAGUUGGUAGGGUAAAGGCCUACCAAGGCGAUGAUCUAUAGCUGGUCUGAGAGGAUGAUCAGCCACACUGGAACUGAGAUACGGUCCAGACUCCUACGGGAGGCAGCAGUGGGGAAUAUUGGACAAUGGGCGCAAGCCUGAUCCAGCUAUGCCGCGUGAGUGAGGAAGGCCUUAGGGUUGUAAAACUCUUUCAGUAGGGAAGAUAAUGACGGUACCUACAGAAGAAGUCCCGGCAAACUCCGUGCCAGCAGCCGCGGUAAUACGGAGGGGGCAAGCGUUGUUCGGAAUUAUUGGGCGUAAAGGGCAUGUAGGCGGUUCGG